Molecule: ribosomal RNA, 372 nt
Filed under: uncultured organism
Description: partial 16S ribosomal RNA
Rfam family: Bacterial small subunit ribosomal RNA
Source: RNAcentral
GUAGGUGGCAAGCGUUGUCCGGAAUUAUUGGGCGUAAAGCGCGCGCAGGCGGUCCUUUAAGUCUGAUGUGAAAGCCCACGGCUCAACCGUGGAGGGUCAUUGGAAACUGGGGGACUUGAGUACAGAAGAGGAAAGCGGAAUUCCAAGUGCAGCGGUGAAAUGCGUAGAGAUUUGGAGGAACACCAGUGGCGAAGGCGGCUUUCUGGUCUGUAACUGACGCUGAGGCGCGAAAGCGUGGGGAGCAAACAGGGAUUAGAUGCCUGGUAGUCCACGCCGUAAACGAUGAGUGCUAAGUGUUAGGGGGUUUCCGCCCCCCUUAGUGCUGCAGCUAACGCAUUAAGCACUCCGCCUGGGAGUACGGCCGCAAGGCUG